Molecule: small RNA, 99 nt
Filed under: Mytilus galloprovincialis (Mediterranean mussel)
Lineage: Eukaryota; Metazoa; Mollusca; Bivalvia; Mytilida; Mytilidae
Source: RNAcentral
ACAUGUCAUUUUUCAUAUCAAACCCCUUAUCAUCCCAUGGUCAAUAUCAUGACAUAGGGCUGAUAAGGGGUUUGAUAUGAAAACUGCCAUGUUAUAAUC